UCGGAAUCUGGGAGGACCAUCUCCCAAGGCUAAAUACUCCCUAGUGAUCGAUAGUGAACCAGUACCGUGAGGGAAAGGUGAAAAGCACCCCGGAAGGGGAGUGAAAGAGAUCCUGAAACCGUGUGCCUACAAAUAGUCAGAGCCCGUUAACGGGUGAUGGCGUGCCUUUUGUAGAAUGAACCGGCGAGUUACGAUCCCGUGCGAGGUUAAGCUGAAGAGGCGGAGCCGCAGCGAAAGCGAGUCUGAAUAGGGCGUUUAGUACGUGGUCGUAGACCCGAAACCAGGUGAUCUACCCAUGUCCAGGGUGAAGUUCAGGUAACACUGAAUGGAGGCCCGAACCCACGCACGUUGAAAAGUGCGGGGAUGAGGUGUGGGUAGCGGAGAAAUUCCAAUCGAACCUGGAGAUAGCUGGUUCUCCCCGAAAUAGCUUUAGGGCUAGCCUUAAGUGUAAGAGUCUUGGAGGUAGAGCACUGAUUGGACUAGGGGUCCUCAUCGGAUUACCGAAUUCAGUCAAAC
RNAcentral lists this ribosomal RNA (516 nucleotides) under Salmonella enterica. Its description in RNAcentral is "partial 23S ribosomal RNA". It matches the Rfam family "Bacterial large subunit ribosomal RNA", at positions 437 to 954 of the family's 2925-position model. Lineage: Bacteria; Pseudomonadati; Pseudomonadota; Gammaproteobacteria; Enterobacterales; Enterobacteriaceae. The record is from RNAcentral.